RNAcentral lists this ribosomal RNA (501 nucleotides) under uncultured Capnodiales. RNAcentral describes it as "eukaryotic LSU rRNA". The stretch from base 163 to 316 matches the Rfam family "5.8S ribosomal RNA". Lineage: Eukaryota; Fungi; Ascomycota; Dothideomycetes; Capnodiales. The record is from RNAcentral.
GCGGAGGGAUCAUUACCGAGCGAGGGCCCUGGGCCCGACCUCCAACCCUUUGUCAAUCAAAACCUGUUGCCUCGGGGGCGACCCGGCCUCCGGGCGUCGGGGCCCCCGGUGGACCAUCAAACUCUUGCGUCGAAGCGUCGGAUUGAAGAGUGAAUUAAUCAAAACUUUCAACAACGGAUCUCUUGGUUCUGGCAUCGAUGAAGAACGCAGCGAAAUGCGAUAAGUAAUGUGAAUUGCAGAAUUCAGUGAAUCAUCGAGUUUUUGAACGCACAUUGCGCCCUUUGGCAYUCCGAGGGGCACGCCCGUUCGAGCGUCAUUUCACCACUCAAGCCUGGCUUGGUGUUGGGUCCACGGGGGCGACCCGGACCCCAAAGUGUCGGCGGGAAGGCUCCGAUCUCAGCGUUGUGGCAAACCAAAUCCGCUGGCGAGACGGGCGUCCUGUGCCGUUAAAACUUUAUUCAGGUUGACCUCGGAUCGGGUGGGGAUACCCGCUGAACUUAA